AAGCGGUGGAGCAUGUGGUUUAAUUCGAUGCAACGCGAAGAACCUUACCUGGGCUUGACAUCCCGGGAAUCCCUUGGAAACAAGGAGUGCCCUUCGGGAACCUGGAGACAGGUGCUGCAUGGCUGUCGUCAGCUCGUGUCGUGAGAUGUAGGGUUAAGUCCCGCAACGAGCGCAACCCUUGUCUUUAAUUGCCAUCAUUGAGUUGGGCACUUUAAAGAGACUGCCGGUGUUAAACCGGAGGAAGGUGGGGAUGACGUCAAGUCCUCAUGGCCCUUAUGGGUAGGGCUUCACACGUCAUACAAUGGUCGGUACAGAGGGUUGCCAACCCGCGAGGGGGAGCUAAUCCCACAAAGCCGAUCGUAGUCCGGAUCGCAGUCUGCAACUCGACUGCGUGAAGUCGGAAUCGCUAGUAAUCGUGGAUCAGCAUGUCACGGUGAAUACGUUCCCGGGUCUU
RNAcentral lists this ribosomal RNA (454 nucleotides) under uncultured Smithella sp. RNAcentral's name for it is "bacterial SSU rRNA". It matches the Rfam family "Bacterial small subunit ribosomal RNA", at positions 927 to 1382 of the family's 1533-position model. The record is from RNAcentral. Lineage: Bacteria; Pseudomonadati; Thermodesulfobacteriota; Syntrophia; Syntrophales; Smithellaceae.